GGAGGUAGUGACAAUAAAUCACAAUGCGGGACUGUUAGUCUUGCAAUUGGAUUGAGAACAACGUACAACUCUUAUCGAUAAGCCAUUGGAGGGCAAGUCUGGUGCCAGCAGCCGCGGUAAUUCCAGCUCCAAUAGCGUAUAUUAACGUUGUUGCAGUUAAAAAGCUCGUAGUUGAAGUGAGGGAGUGUGUAGUAGGACCGACUUGAUCGGAACUGCUGCAACCUCCCCCCUCCAAUCGGUGUAGUGGGGUAUUCAGUUAUUCUACUACUCCUUUGGUCGUUUACUGUGAGAAAAUUAGAGUGUUCAAAGCGGGCGUUUGUUUGAAUAGAUUAGCAUGGAAUAAUGAUUGAAGGCUUUCGUGCUCGAUUUGAUUGGUUUGUUCAUGGAAGCAAGGUUAAAAGGAACAGUUGGGGGUAUUCAUAUUCACUAGUUAAAGGUGAAAUUCUCGGAUUUAUGGAAGAUGAACAAGUGCGAAAGCA
This 479-nucleotide ribosomal RNA is filed under the name Blastocystis sp. H-11. RNAcentral describes it as "bacterial SSU rRNA". It matches the Rfam family "Eukaryotic small subunit ribosomal RNA", at positions 460 to 953 of the family's 1831-position model. Lineage: Eukaryota; Bigyra; Opalinata; Blastocystidae. The record is from RNAcentral.